CCAAAUCCGGGUGGCAAUGGGAAGCCGUGAUGCGGAGUGAAAUAAAGUAGCGAAGUCCGUGAGCCAUGCGUCAAGAAAAGCCGCUAUCGUUUAUACCGUACCCGUACCGUAAACCGACACAGGUGGAUGAGGAGAGAAUCCUAAGGCCGGCGGAAGAAGCAUUGUCAAGGAACUCGGCAAAAUGGCCCCGUAACUUAGGGAUAAGGGGUGCCUGGGAAACCAGGCCGCAGAGAAUAGGCUCAAGCAACUGUUUAGCAAAAACACAGGUCUAUGCGAAACCGAAAGGUGAGGUAUAUGGGCUGACGCCUGCCCGGUGCUGGAAGGUUAAGAGGAGAGGUUAGCGGUAACGCGAAGCUUUGAAUUUAAGCCCCAGUAAACGGCGGCCGUAACAAUAACGGUCCUAAGGUAGCGAAAUUCCUUGUCGGGUAAGUUCCGACCCGCACGAAAGGCGUAAUGAUUUGAGCGCUGUCUCGACAAUGCAUCCGGUGAAAUUGAAGUACCAGUGAAGAUGCUGGUUACCUGCGCCAGGACGGAAAGACCCCAUGGAGCUUUACUCCAGUCUGGUACUGGGACUCGGUAUUGCAUGUACAGGAUAGGUGGGAGGCUAGGAGAUGGUAACGCCAGUUGCCAUGGAGCCGCUGUUGGGAUACCACCCUUGCAGUAUUGGGUUUCUAACCAGCCGCCGUGACCCGGCGGUGGGACAAUGCCAGACGGGGAGUUUGACUGGGGCGGUCGCCUCCGAAAGGGUAUCGGAGGCGCCCAAAGGUUCCCUCAGAAUGGACGGAAACCAUUCGAAGAGUGCAAAGGCAGAAGGGAGCUUGACUGCGACACCGACGGGUGGAGCAGGUACGAAAGUAGGGCUUAGUGAUCCGGUGGUAUUAAGUGGGAAUGCCAUCGCUCAACGGAUAAAAGCUACCCUGGAUAACAGGCUUAUCACUCCCAAGAGUUCACAUCGACGGAGUGGUUUGGCACCUCGAUGUCGGCUCAUCGCAUCCUGGGGCUGUAGUAGGUCCCAAGGGUUGGGCUGUUCGCCCAUUAAAGCGGUACGCGAGCUGGGUUCAGAACGUCGUGAGACAGUUCGGUCCCUAUCCGGCGUGGGCGUAGGAUAUCUGAGAGGAGCUGUCCUUAGUACGAGAGGACCGGGAUGGACGGGCCGCUGGUGCAUCGGUUAGACUGCCAAGUCUACGGCCGAGUAGCCAAGCCCGGAAGGGAUAAACGCUGAAGGCAUCUAAGCGUGAAGCCCCCCUUAAGAUGAGAUAUCCCAUUCGUUAAGAAGUAAACCCCCUUGAAGACGACGAGGUAGAUAGGGCAGAGGUGGAAGUGUAGCAAUGCAUGGAGCUGACUGUUACUAAUCGGGUGAGGGCUUGUC
RNAcentral lists this ribosomal RNA (1369 nucleotides) under metagenome. RNAcentral's name for it is "bacterial LSU rRNA". It matches the Rfam family "Bacterial large subunit ribosomal RNA", at positions 1537 to 2925 of the family's 2925-position model. The record is from RNAcentral.